CCAGGCAGAGGGGCUCCUCACAUCCCAGACGAUGGGCGGCCAGGCCUUGCUGUCUCUAACCCUGAUCUGAUCUCCUGCCUUGAGCAAAUAAAAGAGCCCUGGAAUGUGAAGAGACAUGAGACAGUAGUCAAAUACUCAGUUUGUCUCUUCCAGAAUCAAAGCUGUAAAGCUACAUUCUUCAAAUGGAGCUGCAGGUGCAGUCCAUGACUAAGAUCUACCACGGACUCCUGGACUGGCCUGCUGGCCCAUGCUCUGAUGUUAAUGACAUCGAAGGCACCCCUCCUGAAGAAAUCUCAACCGCACAACCCCUACUAUGCCCCAGUUCAGCAGGAAGCAGUUAGAGCGGUCAUUGGCCCACCUCCCCAACAGCACUUGGGUUUUCCUGUUGAG
RNAcentral lists this long non-coding RNA (390 nucleotides) under Homo sapiens (human). Its description in RNAcentral is "HSALNT0396871". The record is from RNAcentral. Lineage: Eukaryota; Metazoa; Chordata; Mammalia; Primates; Hominidae.